RNAcentral lists this long non-coding RNA (1019 nucleotides) under Felis catus (domestic cat). RNAcentral's name for it is "lncRNA (ENSFCAG00000048928.1)". The record is from RNAcentral. Lineage: Eukaryota; Metazoa; Chordata; Mammalia; Carnivora; Felidae.
AUGGACAGCUACCGCAACACAAGGGAUCCCUGUCUCGGAGCUCUCAUGAGCACCCCCCCUACUCCUCCCAGCACUCCCCUCCAGCUCCGCACCCCCUCCUCCAAGCCUCAGAUUCAUGAUGAAUGCACUGAGGAAGAGUUUGAAGGGGAGAGCCAUUCUGAUCUGAAGGCUGAGGAGAGCUUCAGCAAAGAAGUGAAUGAACAUAAACAGAUGGAAGGUGCCAGAAGCAUGUGGUAGCUCCUUGUUACUCUUUGUAGGCUUUUCCUGUGGCCGCCAUGACAAAUAACUGCAACCCCAGUGACUAAGACAACGCACAUUUAUUCUCUUACAGUUCCGGAGGACAUACAUCUGAGAUGGGCUGAAAUCACGGCAUCAGCAGGGCUCUGGAGUUUUUGGAGGCUGGAGGCAAGGACCCAUUUCCUCUUCCAGCUUCUAGAGGGCACCUGCAUCCCUUGGCUGGUGGCCCCUUCUCCAUCGUCAAAGCUCAUCACCCCAGCCUCUGUUUCCAUUGUCACAUCUCCUUUUUUUGGACUUGGACCCUCCCUUCCAGUAUCCCUCUUUCUUACAAGGAUCCUCGUGAUUAUGCUGGACCGGCCUGGGUAGUCCAGGAUAUUCUCCCUGUCUCAAGAUCGUUAACUUAAUCAAGAUCGUUAACUCUGCAAAGAACCCUUUGCUGUGUAAGGUGAUAUAGGUACAAGUUUCAGGGGUGAGGACACGAACAUCUUUAGGGGGCCAUUAUUCUGUCUACCACAGUUCAGGAAGCUCAAUAGCCAAAAAUAGAAGUUUCAGGGGCACCUGGUGGGGGCUCAGUGAGCUAAGCACCCAGUUUCGGCUCAGGUAGUGAUCUCCUGGUUUGUGAGUUCAAGCCCUGCAUCGGGCUCUGCACUGACAAUGGGGGGCCUGCCUGGGAUUCUCUCUCUCUCUCUCUCUCUGUCCCUCCCCCACUUGAGCAGGAGUGUGUGCGCUCUCUCUCUCUCUCUCUCUCAAAUAAAUAAAUAAACUUUUUUAAAAAAUAGGCA